GACGACGCUGGCGGCGUGCCUAACACAUGCAAGUCGGACGGAUCAGGUAUGACAGCUUGCUGUAGUGCCUGGUUAGUGGCGGACGGGUGAGUAACGCGUGAGGACCUACCCUGGAGAGGGGGAUAACGGCUGGAAACGGCUGCUAAUACCCCGUAAGCCUGAGGGUGAAAGGGAGCGAUCUGCUCCGGGGCGGCCUUGCGUCCUAUCAGCUAGUUGGUGGGGUAAUGGCCUACCAAGGCGAAGACGGGUAGCCGGCCUGAGAGGGCGACCGGCCACACUGGAACUGAGACACGGUCCAGACUCCUACGGGAGGCAGCAGUGGGGAAUAUUGGGCAAUGGGGGGAACCCUGACCCAGCGACGCCGCGUGAGGGACGAAGUCCUUCGGGAUGUAAACCUCUGUUGUGGGGGAAGAAGCCAGUGACGGUACCUCACGAGGAAGCCCCGGCAAACUACGUG
RNAcentral lists this ribosomal RNA (457 nucleotides) under uncultured bacterium. RNAcentral's name for it is "bacterial SSU rRNA". It matches the Rfam family "Bacterial small subunit ribosomal RNA", at positions 33 to 507 of the family's 1533-position model. The record is from RNAcentral.